CGGGACGGGUGAGUAAUGUCUGGGAAACUGCCUGAUGGAGGGGGGUAACUACUGGAAACGGUAGCUAAUACCGCAUAACGUCGCAAGACCAAAGAGGGGGACCUUCGGGCCUCUGCCAUCGGAUGUGCCCAGAUGGGAUUAGCUAGUAGGUGGGGUAACGGCUCACCUAGGCGACGAUCCCUAGCUGGUCUGAGAGGAUGCCAGCCACACUGGAACUGAGACACGGUCCAG
Molecule: ribosomal RNA, 231 nt
Filed under: uncultured bacterium
Lineage: Bacteria
Description: partial 16S ribosomal RNA
Rfam family: Bacterial small subunit ribosomal RNA
Source: RNAcentral